UUUAUACGCAGUUAAAUAUUUUUUUUCGCGGGAACUUUUUUUAGCAGUACAGUGCAAGCGGCCAAGAAAUUCGUUGAGAGAAGAUCGGUCGUCUAAGUGAUCGAUCUUGCCAUGAAUUCUACCCAUACUUGGGAAAGGUUUUAAUACAAUUCUGAAAGUAAUUAUUAGCGAGAGUGACCUUAAUUCUAACCGUUUUUCUCUGCCGAGCAAGUUGGAUUCGAGGUUGAAACUUCAAGCAACAAGUUGUUGGCUCGCGAAGCGAGCAUUCAAGGAUCAUUGUCUAUCGUUUUGAUCGUUCUAGGGGCUUCUAUCAGCGUUGCUCAUGGAUCGAAGCAAACCUGGAUUAGUUCGCACAAAGUCUCAAGACAACGAGGUUUGUGCUUCAUGUGAGUUGAGCUCGGAGGAUAAAGAGUUGUGCAAAGUGAUCGGAAGGAUCUUGGCAAGAAUUGGAGACAGAAUGAACUCUUCAGAGAUGCUAUCAAACGGGCAUAGCCUUCAAGCGAACUGUCGCAAUGGACAUCGUUUGAAUGAUGAUACGAGACCACAGCCAGGAGUAAAUAAACUUCCGUAAACACCGGAAAAAUUUUAUCGAUCAAUUACUUUUGAAAGUUGUAUUUCUACGCAAAAAUAAUUGUACAUAUUGUAUGCAGAUUCACUAUGUUAGAUGUACUGCUGAUACAUACAUGAGAGAAUCAUAUAGAACCGCUAGCUCUGUAAUUUGCGACGCCGACUUUGAUCGUUAGAGUAACUGUUUUAACGAAAAAACUCAAUCUUCGAGCAGGCUGUAAAUAUUUUUUUGACAAAAGCAGAACGAAAUAAAUAAAAUCAGCUGAUGAAUGGCAA
Molecule: long non-coding RNA, 843 nt
Organism: Pocillopora damicornis (cauliflower coral)
Lineage: Eukaryota; Metazoa; Cnidaria; Anthozoa; Scleractinia; Pocilloporidae
Source: RefSeq, a predicted model, not a curated record